Molecule: RNA transcript, 1457 nt
Organism: Aegilops tauschii subsp. strangulata
Lineage: Eukaryota; Viridiplantae; Streptophyta; Magnoliopsida; Poales; Poaceae
Source: RefSeq, a predicted model, not a curated record
UAAGGCAAAUCUUAUAGCUUUUGUGUGAUUGUAGUUCUUCCUCAGCCCGGCCACGAACUCGGUUUCUCCAAUUUGAUAGCGUGCUACUGGUUCUUGAUCCUUCGGCUGCUUCCUCCCCAUCUCUCUCAGCCCAUGGGUACCAAGGCCAUGUCAGAUUUCCUUGCUUGCCCUCUGCUUCCGUUUCCAUUUUCCCUGUGCCAUUUUAGCUUCAAACGCUUAUUACCUGAUCCCUCAUCCAGAAAUAAUAAAUUCAGUUGAACUUCCAAAAUUUGUUCUUUGCUUAGGUCGCUGGAUGCACAAUGUCCUCUUCUUCCUUCUCUCGACUUCCAGAAACUUUUCUUUGCAUAGGGAGGCAUUUGUGGUCAAUGAGACACCCGUAUUCAUGAAUAAGCCUCCUCCACAUGUAUUUAAACUGAUGUCUCUACCAUCAAUGAUUAUAAAGCUCACUUUGGGUUUGCUCUGGUGCAUCAUCCACUUAGCAAUCAGCCUUUUAAGCUUAUGUUCUCAUCUGAUUUUCAAUCUAGAGUGUUCUCUUAUUUCAUCUGGGUUGUUGUGGAAGUAUCGGAAUCUCCAACUGGGGAGACUCAAAUACCUCGCUAUCGUGGUAGAUAGCAGAGAAGCUAAGAAUACCGUGAAGAUCAAUCAGCUGUUAUAUUGGCUCAAAACUCUUGGUGUGAAGUAUGUGUGUCUCUAUGACAUUGACGGAGUGCUGAAGAAAUUGUUUGCACCUGGUAUGAAUGGCUCAAGAGAUAACAACCCCGGAGAUUAUUUGGAUGCCAGUGCAAAUAUCAAAGCCUUAGACUGUUGUCAGAAACAGAUGACGAUAGAGUGUAUUUCUGGUUCUGAUGGCAAAGAGGGCAUUGCUAAAGCAGCCAACUUACUUUGCUCCAGUUAUUUAAACGGUGAUAGCUAUACUCAAGAGAAUGUCAAAAGUGAAGAGAAUGUCAAAAGUGAAGAGAAUGUCGAAAAUGAGCCAGUAUUUACAGAAACUGACAUGGCCAGCGCACUGAAAUCCAUAGAUGCCAUUUAGGCUUUCCUACAUGGAGAUUGCGGUAUACUGAGAUUAUGCAUAUGGGACCUCUGAAAUCAAUGAAAUACGGCGCCAUUGUGAAAGCCUUCCAUAACUACUCAAAGAAACACCAAAACUAUGGUAAAUGAGAGCUGAUACUUGUAUACUGAAGACCAGGCUGUUGUGUAGAAAAGCACUCCUGGAACUGGAAGCUUGACAACUGUUUUGCCUUUCUGUUCGUGAUUAUACUAGUAGAGGUUAGUUAAGAUCAAGUCGCAGAUACCCAUGUUGUAAUAUCUUUUGGCAAGAUUAGAAGUGUUAUUGAUAGAACAUACGGGAAUGGAUCCCAUUGUAAAGCUUGCCUGGUCAUGAAGAUUAAUGAACCUGCUCUUGAGCGAGCACAUAUGGAUUGAUAUCAGCAAUGUUAUGCACCCAAAUCAUGCCGAUC